UGUAUAUAUAUAUAUAUAUAUAGAUCAAUGAAUGUAACAUUUCUGUAUUCGAAUUUGUUAUACGACAUCACUGAACAAAGACAGCAGUAUUUGUAAUCAUAUGCCAAAGAAUAAAGGUAAAGGAGGUAAAAAUCGGCGGCGUGGUAAGAACGAGAACGAGUCAGAGAAGAGAGAGCUGGUUUUCAAAGAGGAUGGCCUGGGUAAGUAGUUUAAAUAGUUGGCCCGCUGUAUAUGUGCAAAUAAAUGAAGGUUUGUGGUCAGUAAGAUGAAUCAUUUAUUUGUGUGUAUAUAACACCUGCACCUUUUGUAUAUCUUAUCUUACACACCAGUUAACUGAGCUCCAAAUCAGCAUAUUAGAAUGAUUUCUAAAACAUAACAGGAAUAAAUUACAUUUAUAAUAUAAAAUAGAAAACAUGUACUUUAAAUUAUAGUAAUAUUACUGUUUCUGCUUUAUUUUUGAUUGGUUCUUCCAAAAACAUUAAAUCUGAUUGACCCCAAAUGUUUGAACUGAAGUGUGUGUGUGUAUAUUUAUGUAUAUAUGUAUGUAUAAAUCGAGGAAAGCUCCGGAAAAAGGUAUGAUAAUGUUGAUUAUAACUCUCAUGUCUAGGUUUAUGGACUGAAUAACUGUCAUAUUUCUAUUGCUGUUUGUUAUAGAUAAUUUGAUAUAAUUUCACUCAUUUUACUUUCUUAUUUCUGCUUGCCUAGAAGACAUCUUUUUUUCUUUUUUUAAUUAACGUCAUUCUCCUUUAGGUCUGAAUCAACACAUCUGACAUUAGGUCUUAGAGAUUAUCAGGAUACCAAAGCAGAUGUUAUUUUAAAGUACAAUGCAGAUGAGGCCUGCAGUCUUAAGGCCUACGGAGAGCUUCCAGAACACGGUGAGUCUCAAACUGGCCUUACUCAGUUUCUGACUUCUGUUUACUGGAAAUGUUUUAUGGAAAUGUCAUGUUACUAAAACCAAUGACCCACAAUUCUAAGUGUCAGAUGAUGUAGAUGUAUGCAAGUAAAGACUCAAAAAGACUAAAAUCAAUGAAACUGACACAUUUGGACCUGGAGACAAUGAUGAGAUUCAGUUUGAUGAUAUUGGGAAUGAUGAUGAGGACAUUGAUGAUGUAAGUGUUUGAUUGUUUUGAUUAUGACUUUUUUUUUUUAUGUAAGUUACCAAUAUCGAAGUGCUGGAAUUUGAGUUUCUAUUGCCUGUAUAGUUAUUUCUGCUGUACUAUAAAACUGAUAUACAUUAAUAUUCAAGCGUUUGGGUGAGUUAGUUUUUUUUUUUUUUUCAAGAAAUUAAUACUUCUAUUCAGCAAGGACACAAUUAAUUGUACAGUGACCGUAAAGAAAUGUAUAAUGUUACAAAAGAUUCCUACUUCAUAAAAUCCAGAAAAAAUGGAUCAGUUUACACAAAAAUGUAACUGCGUUGAGGCUUCUUUGGCAUAUGAUUACAAAUAACUGCUUGGAGGCUUGGAGAUGCACUUUAGUGAUCUAUUAAGCAUUCACAGUAACUUUUAAAGGAACAAAAUGUUUUAACUGUGUCUGACUGCUCUGGUCCACAAGCAACAUACUGAAGUGUUUUGGAAAACCUGUACCUUGAUGUGUUUGUUUCUGUCCUCUCCCACAGAUCUGAUUCAGGGCUGCUGGUGGCUUAUAUAAUUUACACUGAGAGGAGAGAAAAUUUCCUUUUUGGGGAAUAAUUGCAACUUUGACAUAACUGAUGCCUCAUAUCCUGCAACCUCCCUCACAGAAAAACUUGUAGAGUCAUUACUUAUCUGUUUCUCUAUCCACCACGUAAUCUCACUACAAGGCUUCUCCGAGCAUUCUGGCUUUCACACAAAUCGCUCUCUUUCACAUUUAAUACAACCACACAACAUAGACUACGUAGCUUUGUUAUGAUUUUCAAGUAUUUAUAUUAUAUUCCACUGUAUGUGGUGGAAUUUAAAAUGCAAAGAAAAUCCAGAAUUUGCAGUUCUGUUGUAUAUAAUUCUUUGCAUUUAAUUUUCUCCAAGUAAACGGUAUCUUCAUCAUGGCAUUUGCAUGCAUCUCUGCUGUGAAAUAAAAAAUAUUUUUUUA
Carassius gibelio (silver crucian carp) is the source of this 2064-nucleotide long non-coding RNA. RefSeq lists it as uncharacterized. The transcript has 3 exons. NCBI's taxonomy places the organism in Eukaryota, Metazoa, Chordata, Actinopteri, Cypriniformes, Cyprinidae. The record is from RefSeq and is a predicted model, not a curated record.